Molecule: transfer RNA, 64 nt
Filed under: Paratrichocladius tamaater
Lineage: Eukaryota; Metazoa; Arthropoda; Insecta; Diptera; Chironomidae
Description: tRNA-Arg
Source: RNAcentral
AGAAUUUGAAGCGAUGAAUUGCAAUUAGUUUCGACCUAGUUUUAGGUGUAUAUACCCAUAUUCU